GUUUUCUACAGUGUGGAAGCUUUGUUUUUUUUCCUCUUUGCAAUCAAUCUAGCUGCUGCUCACUCUUUGGGUCCGCCAUUGCCUUUAUGGGCUGUUAACGCUCACCGCGAAGGUCUGCAGCUUCCCUCCUGAAGCCAGCGAAACCACGAACCGACCGGGAGGAGCGAAUAACUCCAGACGCGCCACCUUAAUAGCUGUAACAGUCACCUCGAAGGUCCGCAACUUCACUCCUAAGCCAGCGAGAUCACGAACCCCACCAGAAGGAAGAAAUUCCGAACAUAUCCGCACAUCAGAAGGCACAAAUUCCGGACACGCCGCCUUUAAGAACUGUAACACUCACAGCGAGGGUCCGCGGCUUCAUUCUUGAAGUCAGUGAGACCAAGAACCCGCCAAUUCCGGACACACUAUGAUCAUACCACUGCACUCCAGCCUGGAGUACAAGGACAAAUCAUGCCCAGCUGAGGAAAUGAGCAAGCACAUAUGAAAAAGUCCCGAAAAUAAAAACGGCAGCAAAAAAAUGGUUGUAUGCCAAACAACAGUUACCAGCUCUCCAGGAAAAACUCAUUCAUAAAUCGGAAGAAAUUGGUGCUCAUCUACUGAAGGGAAUAGAAAGAGCCUUCUUUGUGCAACCUGUGCUGCAAAGACCACAAGCAACUGCGGUCAGACAAAAGACAAACAAAGAGACGUCUGGGAAAUGCCACAACUGAGAAUAAAGUCACUUCAUACACCCAAGAGGCUGCCACCACACAGAUGCCUCCUGUAGAUAUCCAACUAUCAGAACAGAUACUAUAAUAUUCUAUAAUGAGAAGUGUGUUUCACCAAAGCAACACUAUUGUAUCCUGUCCAAUAAAGAAAAUGUAUUUCCU
This 866-nucleotide long non-coding RNA is filed under the name Homo sapiens (human). RNAcentral's name for it is "HSALNT0325353". Lineage: Eukaryota; Metazoa; Chordata; Mammalia; Primates; Hominidae. The record is from RNAcentral.